Molecule: non-coding RNA, 2650 nt
Organism: Megalopta genalis
Lineage: Eukaryota; Metazoa; Arthropoda; Insecta; Hymenoptera; Halictidae
Source: RefSeq, a predicted model, not a curated record
GCAAUUGGUAUUCGUGGCAGAAAAAACUGAGGAGCGCGGUACUCUGAAAAACGUUUUCUUGGUCGAACCGAUUUGUCAAACAUGAAAUGAUGAAUUUGGCACAAUAAAUUGCAGUGAUCUUAAACAUAAUAUUCUCUUUGUUAUAACAUGAAAAUUGCUGGGGGGACCAGAAAAUGAUGCACUCGUUAGAGAAUAACUAUCUCAGUGCCAUCAGGGUCCUGUGACGACGAGGAAAAUGUGAAGAAAGUUGACGAAUGAAAUGAAGAAAAUUUUAGCAAUAGCAACUGGAUAUUCGCCGAUUACUAUCUUCCACGUUACGAGAUUGCUUCAAGAUGUACGAGCCGAAGAACUCCAAAUUCUUAAGAAACUAUCGCAACGUUCGCGACGAUAGAUUCGUCGACGUGGAAGAUAUCACUACGGUUUACAAACAUCCGGAUCUCGUCUACAUCUGCGAAUACAUAAAGGACCGGUUUUAUUUCGCGACGCUAGCCAAUGGGCGGAAUUAUGCGAGAAACACACCGAACAUUCACUGUUUCACCACCGACGAUGAACUGGUCUACAAUAAUUUUUACAAUGACUUUGGACCGCUCAAUCUCGCCUGUCUCUACAAAUAUUGCUGCAUGGUGAAGAAGAAGCUGCAGAGCCCAUCUAACAAGCACAAUCAAAUAGUGCACUAUACUUCGCAAAGAGAAGAUAAGAGAGCGAACGCUGCUUAUUUGGCAGCUUCGUAUGCUGUGUUGUACUUGAACAAAAGCCCCAAGGAGGCUUACAACAUUCUCUUCAUUGGGAGUGAUUUAGCAAUAGCACCGUUCCAAGACGCUUCAAUGGGCUCUUCUAUUUACCACAUCCACAUACUCGAUUGUUUAAACGCACUCCAAAUGGCAUCCUCUUUUGGGUUUUUUUAUUUCGACGACUUCGAUCUCUUCGAAUACGAAAAGUACGAGGACAUGAGGAAUGGUAACAUAAACUGGUUGGUACCGCAGAAGUUCCUGGCAUUUGUGGGUCCCAGUACUGAACCGGGAACCCCAUACCAUCCCCCUGAAUGUUACAUUGAUUUCUUUUUACAAAAUGGAGUCACCGCUGUGGUUAGAUUGAACAAGAAAGUAUACGAUGCAUCGAGGUUCACGACUGCAGGCAUUUCUCACUAUGACAUGUUCAUGCCAGACGGCACCGUUCCACCAAAAAGGGUUCUACAUCAAUUUCUUACGCUGAGCGAAAACACCACCGGACCGAUAGCAGUCCACUGCAAGGCUGGACUCGGCAGAACUGGUUCCCUAAUUGCGGCCUACUUGAUAAAACAUUACAAAAUGUCUGCAAGAGAAGCCAUCGCUUGGAUAAGGAUUUGUCGACCCGGUUCUGUUAUCGGGCAUCAGCAAACGUGGCUGGAGAAUGUGGAGAAAAAUUUGUUGAUCGCUGGCGAACAGUACAAAUUAAAGUAUUUUGGUAAUAUGCACCACAAAAGAGGAAUAUAUUCAAUGUUGGACAAGAUAGAAAGAAACAAACAUGGAUUACCGCGGAUUGAAGGCACAGAGCCAACGAGAUACGACGAUGCGCCUCCAGAAAAAUCGACCAAGACAAAAUUCACUCGAAUUCUAGGAAAAUUAAGGAACAUUCGAGGAGCAGAUGAUUCGGAAAAGGAAUCACAAAGUACACGCAGCAUGACACAAGGAGACCGAUUGAACGCGAUCAAAAUGAGCAGAUACAAGCAGCCUCGAAGUUCGGAGUCACAGAAGAAUUGCCAGACCUACGAGCAAGAUGGUGUCCGAAGCCCACAUAAAAGGAAAUAAAACAGGAUAGCGCUUGUUAGGAACAUUCUGCUAGACGAGCUGUGCUGAGGCGUUUUUGACCCGUUUCAUUUGUAAAAGAGAAAAAAAGGGUUGAAGAUGAAGGAGUGAUAUUCAGAAUGGAAUCGUUGCUGCUGAGGAGGGAUGAAGAUCCGAGGAAAACAAAUUGGCCAAGAGAGUGGCUUGAAUCGAUAAAAUAAUGGUAUUGACUAAAAUAGUCUCGCCUUAUGAAAUCGUUGUUGAUAUAUACAAAUCGCGCCGCCGUGCCUACUCACAUUAUGCAAUCAAUAAUGAUAACCGCAUCGUCGAACAUACAGUCGAGCCUCCAGAUACGUCAAACACGCGCAACUCUAGUUGAUUGUUGCGUGUGCGUCGCAACUAUUUGUGCAGAGGGUAUUUGCAAAGCUUGCAGACAUUGGGUCGACAUUAUAGAUAAUCCAAACGCGAAGAAAAAAAAGUCAAGAAGCGGCAAAUUAACUUGAAUCGAUUGGCGUGAUCGUUGAUCAGGACAAAAUCCACAGAUCCAAAUUUUAACGUUAAUAAAUUCAAAGGGAUCGGGUUUACAUACGAUGAUAUACAAGUUUUCGAUCAUUAUCAUGGAAUGUAUUCUUUCCAAGAAACUGGAUACCACGAUGACAUUUGACACCUUUGCUGAAACAAAUUCAUGGGAUUACCCGAAAUAUCAGAGUAGAAAAAAUAAGCGAUAACGUGGCCCAAUGACUUCGUGAACCAACGAGUUAAAAAAAAUAUGCGGCAUCCAUGCUAUCGAUCAUCGGUGAAAAUAAUAAUAAAAGUUUCUGUUCAGCGAUUUGAGAACAGUUUCUUUAAACAAAAUUUGAAUCAGUAAAGAAACACAAUAAGACAAA